Molecule: long non-coding RNA, 598 nt
Filed under: Betta splendens (Siamese fighting fish)
Lineage: Eukaryota; Metazoa; Chordata; Actinopteri; Anabantiformes; Osphronemidae
Description: lncRNA (ENSBSLG00000001759.1)
Source: RNAcentral
GAGCACAGUGGAGAUUAAUGUAUUAACUGCUACCUGUGAUCCGUCACCCGUCAGACUUGGCUCGGUGUCACGCGUCGUCGGGGGAGACGGGCGACCGUCUGGCGCAGAGAACAGAAGGAGGGACACCAAAAAGUUGACUGCGCCGCUUCGUUCCGUGCAUCAUGAUAAAGACUGAAUCACCCAGAAGAACGGUCCUGCAGCGGAGACAGAUGUUCCCCUCCCUGAUCCUUCCACAGACAAGAACUAGUCCGGUGGAAAAACCCUCCCAGUGGGAGGUUAGUCCUGUCUCCACGCUGAAAAAUGCCGAAAAAAUAAAAAGACACAAGCUUCUGCAUACAGCAGUGUUAUGAAUCAUGUGGCCAGGCAACAAAUCCCCCUCAGUUUGUAAAGGCUUACAGCACCGCUAGGUCCUAAAGCAAAAAAAGAUACUCAAUCCUUUGCCUGUUUCUGGAAGUUGACUUUCUUCUUUCUCAGGUCAAAGUUCACGAGUUCCAGACACCGUCGCCUGGACGGCUGCGAAUCAUCUCAGACCUUUUACUUGAUGCGGUGUGUUCAGGGCACUGCUGUAAUACAGUACGUAAGGAUUUUACCAGUACUA